Prunus avium (sweet cherry) is the source of this 598-nucleotide non-coding RNA. The record is from RefSeq and is a predicted model, not a curated record. Lineage: Eukaryota; Viridiplantae; Streptophyta; Magnoliopsida; Rosales; Rosaceae.
UAUGAACAGAGCUAAUGGUUAAGCUCGUUGAGUUCUGUGGCUACUCUGUAGAUUUGAGGUGUCAAUUGCCGGAUGAAGGUGUUCAGAACGCCGACGCUGAUGGUGAUUGCAAGAAGAAAGAAGAUGAAGACGAUUUCUCUUUCGCAUGCUCCAACCCCGACGGAUCGUCGAUUUCCACCGACGAUAUAUUCCAAAAUGGCCAGAUCCGUCUUGUGUUCUCGAUUUUCAACCCGGAUAUCUUGUUUGCAGAUGCGACGACGAUUUUUCCAGAGCCAGAGGGGUUGCCGCUUCCUCUUCCUCUCUGCGGCCGCCAUUGAAGAAGCUCAUCAGUGACGCCUCUGAUAUUUGGUGAACAUCCUUGGUACCAUUGCAAGGUCUGGCACCAAGGAAUUUAUGGAAGCCUUGGCUGCUGGUGCUUCUCUUGUUGCAGAUAAGGUCAUUGUUACCACCAAGCACAAUGAUGAUGAGCAGUAUGUGUGGGAGCCACUCCGAUUCAAUAUUUAUGAUGUUUUUCCUUUUGCCUUUGCGAUUGUAUCUGGUGAAACUGUAGACAAUUGGAGGUGGUUUCUGCAAAGGAUAUCGGAUGUCUUGCUAGGCU